RNAcentral lists this ribosomal RNA (254 nucleotides) under uncultured bacterium. RNAcentral's name for it is "partial 16S ribosomal RNA". It matches the Rfam family "Bacterial small subunit ribosomal RNA", at positions 524 to 776 of the family's 1533-position model. The record is from RNAcentral.
UACGGGGGGGGGCUAGCGUUGUUCGGAAUUACUGGGCGUAAAGGGCGCGUAGGCGGUCUACUAAGUUGGAUGUGAAAACUCUGGGCUUAACCCAGAGCCUGCAUUCAAAACUGAUAGGCUAGAGUUCUGGAGGGGAUAGCGGAAUUCCUGGUGUAGCGGUGAAAUGCGUAGAUAUCUGGAGGAACACCGGUGGCGAAGGCGGCAUCCUGGACCAAUAUUGACGCUGAGGAGCGAAAGCCAGGGGAGCAAACGGG